UCUCUCUGCCUCUCCCCUGCUCACAUUCUCUCUCCCUCAAAAGUAAGCAUUUAAAAAAAAAAAAAAAAGUGAUCAUAAGCUAAUAGUGCAGUAAAAGUUGCAGUCAACCUGACAUGAGCUGUGAAUGUGCCAACGCCAGUUACUAUGGACUGUCUGUCCGGGAAUUAAAGUGAGAGACUCGGUUUUUUUUUACCUCCAACAUUCUCUAUUUGCGUAACACAGAGUUGGGCCCUUAGUAGGCCUUUAAUUUUGGUUUGGAUUCACGUUUGCUAGUUUGCUGAAUAUGAUCACAACAUUUGAAGGUCCAUGAGGGUUGGAAGGUAGGGAGAGACAGAAGUAAACUUUUUUUUUUCCCCUCAAAAAUCAUGUGUUAUGUAAUAAUUUUAGAGUGAUGAAGACAUAGAUAUUUUUAUAAUUUUAAAAUAUGUUAUCCUGCCAGAGUAUGAGAAGAUUGACAGAACCAGUUUGCUUUCUCUCUAUUUAUAGAACUUGGCCACAUCUAAUUCAGAGAAGCUAGAGAUUCAGGGACGCUAGACUUGGACGGCUGAGUAAUAUGGGAUGUGGUUCAAGGACCAUCGAGUAUGUCAGGCCGUUAACUGCAAACUACUUGUAACGCGUGAAAUGUGAUAUAUGGCUAACUUCCUGCUCCCGCGGCGGAGAGGUGGGAAUGAACAUCUUCGCUGUGGCUGACCGGAUUCCCUUACCUUAGGCCAGUUUCUUAACAAUGGCCAUCGAGAGAGCACGUGGAGUGCCCCUUGCUCUGCUCCGGCCUGCCGUGGAGAAGCAGCCUUAAAAGAAUCACUGUCUAAGGGUAACAUGAGAGCUCCAGGAGCUAUUCUGAGCGCCUGCUGAUGCAAAGCUAAAUUUAGCAAACAUGUGUCUAGCGUGGUCAGAGGUUCUGCUUCAUUGAACGUCCUGAUUGACGGAGACAGAGUUGCAGAGAAUUCUGUAACGAGUGCAAGUCGUCCUUCACCCCACCCCAGAUUUUAAAGCAGUCAGGCAAUUUAGGUAUGGCAUUCUGUCAUUAAAGACCACAUCUUACCGCAGGACUCUAGGCAGAGAAAGUGAAAAGUCUGGUCAAGUGUACCACCUUCCUGCAGGACCGGUUACAAAACACCCAGACGGUCAACUCUCCCAGAAUCGGUAGGCCUCGUAAAAGCAGCAGGCUGAGCGUGCAGAGCAAAGUUCACGUUUUGAUUUAGAUUCCACUCGGGGUUUAGGGUAGCGAUCCAUCUUUGCGUCUCUGGCAUUGAAGCUGUUGCAGAAAAGGUUGUGGAAAUGCUCAGUUUCUUAUCUUUGGCACCACCUACGUCAUAAACAUCACGAGUCUUGCUCUUAGUGUAGAUGUCUUUAUUCUGAGUUUGUUUGUAGCACUAAAGCCAAGUUCUUCUAGAAUAGGAAGAGUCUUGCUCUGUUCUGAGGUGUUUCUCUGAUGUACAUGCAGAGCGAGGAAUUAACACGAGGGAACGGCAACAAACGUGGGCCUUUUGUUGGAACACUCCUGAGCCCCGUUCCAGCUUUUAAUGAUUUGUGGUUCUACCUUGUUUCCUGUUGGAAAAGUAUGGAUUCAGAACCUGGACCCAGUGACCAUUACUGCAUCUUUGGAACACAGGUCUGGGAGGAAACAGAUAUUUUCCUCCAAAACCCUUUUAUAUCUGUGUCUAUCUGUUGAUGGGUUCAAACCCUCUCUCCCCACAAGCACAAAUCUGGGAGGCGGCGACAGGUCACAUAAAGCUUUUCGUCUUUGCCUCUCCCUUUUCUCUGAUCAACCAGGUGGCUUUAGUGCUACAAAAAUGUGGACUAAGGGAGGCCUGGGGUAGGAACUUUAUAGAAACAGUUCAGUCUGGGAGAGAGAACCUUCUCUUCAUCCGAAGCCCAAGGACACGGUCUGUGCCAAUCCAGCCGCUCUGGGGAACUCUCAGGAUGUCGCCAGUGGUGAAGUUAGAAGGCUUCAGAGUCAGAGUUGAGGAAGAGCAGCUGUCCCCUUUUCCUUUACCCAGGUGCUGACCGAGUCCUCAGAGCUGGAAGGGGUGAAAACCUUUAUGAACCUAAAACUACCUCCAUGCCUGGGGGAGGAUUCAUCUGGUGGCAUCUAGGCCUUCCGAGUACAGAGGAAAUGAGUGCCAGGUACCAACGCAGCGAUCGGACUGUGUGUUGCUUAGGUGUGGGAAGCAAGGGAGAGGCCCCUGCUGGCCCUGCACGUACGUCACCCUCGGUGAGUGGAGGAGGGCCACCAGGGAGCACGAGAGGCUUUGGCAGAAAGAAGGGGGGGCUGGAGCCAUUGUUGACGUUGGAGGGCUCGCUUUCAAAUCUUUUCCCCACCCUGCAAGAAUGAGACAGAGCUCCUGGCAUGGGAGCUUUUCGAUGAAAAGUUUAUUAGAAGGGUACUUACAGGGGAAAGAGAGGACACAGAUCUUUAACAAGAGGGGUACAAUGCUUAAACAGGUGCUCUGCUCUUAAGAUACAAAAGUUAGAAAAAUCUAAAACACUAUAAAUACAUACAUGCUUUUUACAAAGGUAUUAAAAGGUCAGGCUGGCUGAGAAGGGAAGGUAAUCACAGCCUCCCCGCUCUGUCCCCCCACCCUGAUACACCCCACCAGAGUCCGGGACCGCCUCGACACAGCAGCAGGGAGGGGGCUCUGGCUCUAACCCUCUGCGUCAAGUUCUCACCACCCCAAAGGGCCUGGAGGGGACCCCAGGGAUCGGGAUCGCUGCCUCGCCUGUGGCCUGCCCGGGGGUUGGGGGGGCGGUCGGUUCUGGAGGCUGAGCCGCUGGGCCCCCGACUCUUCCCAGCCACAGUCAGUCCUUGGGAGGAGAGACCUUUCCAACUUGCUUCAAAAAAUUAAAUAGUUCUCGGUCUUGAAUGGUUUUAAGAAAUUAUUACAUAAAUAUAAAAACACCAGAACGCCAGAGUGUACAUUAUACUUCAGCAUAACAAAAAGUUACAGAAUCACUGAGAGCAUUGCUCAAUCCAGUUCACACAAUAGGCAAGUUUACGUGAGAGCUGUGUUUCUGAAAAGUCCUUUCCCCACUGACUGCCACCCCUCCACCAGGGAUGCCUCCUUGUCAUGUGGGAACCAUAUCCUCUUGUGUCUUUUUUUUUUUUUUUUUUUUUUUGCUUUUGCUUUCCCACCCUCUUGAGAAGUAGCCGAUACUCCUCAAAAGGAUGAUCUAGAAGGGAACAUUCAUGACACAAAAA
Long non-coding RNA from Leopardus geoffroyi (Geoffroy's cat), 3199 nucleotides. RefSeq lists it as uncharacterized. NCBI's taxonomy places the organism in Eukaryota, Metazoa, Chordata, Mammalia, Carnivora, Felidae. The transcript has 2 exons. The record is from RefSeq and is a predicted model, not a curated record.